AUGGAAUAACUAAAUUGAAAUGCAAGAUCAGAAAUGUCAGUUGAGAUAUUAAAUUCAAGGCAACGUUGUGAGUUGGGAAUAGAAUCGGCUUUACGUUAUGAACCUGAGACUCAUGCCAGUGAAAUCAAUACAGUGGUUCAUCCUGGUCUUUACGAAUCUGGGAAUAGAAUCGGUUAGUUCAUCCAAUCAAAUUGUCACUAAGUUGUAUUAUAGGUUUACGUAUUCACACACCCUUUUAUACGACGCGUAUACGCGUCGUAUAUUAUCAUAUCGUAUAGGUCCCAUAUAAGCCUAUAGGUGUAGUAUAAUAUACCAUAGCAUCGUAACGUAUCGUAUAGGUGUAGUACGCACCCCGUAUAGGGCUUAUAAGUGUAGUAUUAUAUAGCAUCGUAUCAUAUAAUAUCGUACAAUUUUGUAUCAUAUUGGUGUAAUAUAGCAUAGUCUAGAAAUACGAUACGAGACUUAUACUAUACGAGACAAUACGAUACUAUACCUAUAGGCCUAUACGAGACUUAUACUAUACGAUACUACACCUAUAGGCCUAUACGAGACUUAUAGUACACUAUACGAUACUACAUCUAUUGAGGCCUAUUACAUCUCUUGGUUUAUACGAGCCCUAUAUGGGACCUAUACGAUACUACACUAUACGAUACUACACCUAUAGGCCUAUACAUGACUUAUAUUAAUUACACUAUUCGAUACUACACUAUAGGCUUAUACGGGACCUAUACACCUAUACGAUACACUAUGAUACUAUACUACAUCUAUAGGCCUAUAUGGGACUUAUACUACACUAUACAAUAAGAUACUACACCUAUAGGCUUCCA
This 827-nucleotide long non-coding RNA is filed under the name Helianthus annuus (common sunflower). Lineage: Eukaryota; Viridiplantae; Streptophyta; Magnoliopsida; Asterales; Asteraceae. The record is from RNAcentral.